This is a long non-coding RNA of Hemicordylus capensis (graceful crag lizard), 592 nucleotides long. RefSeq lists it as uncharacterized. The record is from RefSeq and is a predicted model, not a curated record. The transcript is spliced from 5 exons. NCBI's taxonomy places the organism in Eukaryota, Metazoa, Chordata, Lepidosauria, Squamata, Cordylidae.
AACAAUGGACACCUGGGAACCAUAGAGGAAGGGGAGUGAAAAGCCUGCAUCUGUGAAAGGAAGGGUGAGUAACAGGACAAGAUUAAUUGCCACAGGAGAAGAAGGUUCAGCUGAAUCACGUAACUCGCGCAAUGAAUGUGGGGGUUUCUCUCAAACUACAAGGGUGAACAUUGCAUGUGUGGUGGACCCUUAUGAGGUCAUUAUACCUCCCAAAUUUCAAGCAGAAGUUUUCUUCCUCUCUGGAAGCCCUGCCCGCCUGCCAAUCAGCUGAGAGGCAGGGAGAGAAGGAGCUGUGUCAUAGUUUGUAGGCAGCUCCAAUCCUAGGCCAGAGGGCAAGGAAGAACCUCAAGACCCUCCUGUUUUCUCAGGCUUUUAAUUAGAAUCAAUUUAAAUAAUUUAAAAAAAAACUUGUUUUAAUAACUAUUUUAUUCUAUUGUUUUUAUUGUGACUUUUGUAUUGUAUCGUGACUACUGUAUUUUAAUUUGUGACUUUUAAAUAUUUUAAAUUUUGUACACUGCCUAGAGAUAUACACAUCAGGUGGUACAGAAAAAUAAAUGUAAAUAAAUAAAUAAAUAAUAUUUUCAUCAUAUUA